RNAcentral lists this long non-coding RNA (959 nucleotides) under Nicotiana benthamiana. RNAcentral describes it as "long non-coding RNA (NBEN_LNC013145)". Lineage: Eukaryota; Viridiplantae; Streptophyta; Magnoliopsida; Solanales; Solanaceae. The record is from RNAcentral.
UUAACUUGGGAAAUCUGUCAAGCAAUAAGUAGACAUACUUGUACACAUAUAUAAGGAAAAGUACAAAUCUAAUUCUGGAAAAUAACUUUCGAAAUUGAAAACUUGGGACAUCAGUCAUUUAAUUGGGGAAUAUCCCACUGAUUGAGUAAAAUCAAUACCAAACUGUAAAGAGAGUACAAAUCACAAUUUAAAGCCAGUAAUCAUAUCCUUAAAGAGAAGGUAAGAGACAGUAUAAAGUCACCAUAUAAACAACCAAAAUUCUCAAAAGAAGAACAACAUCAUGGUAUGGGAAUGAAACAUUAGCAAAAAAAAUCAAAGCAAAGGGCAUUCUCAAAAGAAGAACAACAUCAUGAUAUGGGAAUUAAACAUUGGCAACAAAAAUCAAAGCAAAUGGCACGGAGCUCAUAUAAGAAACAUGCAAAUAGGCAAACACUGAUACAAACAUGUAGGGUUAGGGGUUUUUAUCAGAUUUCACAAGAAGUUCAGAGGUAGUACUAAAGGCCAUGAAUUAGUGCUAAAAAUCAGAAAAGUGAAGUACUUUCCAAUGAGGUUAUGAAACCCUUAGAAAUUAUAGCGUGAAACCAAGUUGACAAACAAACAAACAAACAAACAAGUGAAAUAAACAAACACAAACAAAUACAUACCACUCAAACAGAGUAGAAGAACAAUUUCGAAGAAGGGGUUAGAAACCCUAAUUUGGAAUAAUGGUAACCAUCGAAAAAUUUGAAAUAACCCGAGAAGCUAAGUAGAAAUAGAGUAAAAAACAAAAAAAUCAAACUAAGAGUUAUUUAAAAGAGUAAAGAUUAAAGAGAAAAAUUAGUGUUUUCAAACAGAUUAGGGAAACGAAGAACCUGGUUGUGAAACUCGUAUACAAUGUCGUAUAAGGCAUCAUCGUUCAAAGAUCACUGGAGAAACACCGGAAACAGACCCCAAAUAGAGCUUCAGUGACCGUCUUCCAU